UCAUGGCUGCGGGGCGCACU
Molecule: unclassified non-coding RNA, 20 nt
Filed under: Chlamydomonas reinhardtii
Lineage: Eukaryota; Viridiplantae; Chlorophyta; Chlorophyceae; Chlamydomonadales; Chlamydomonadaceae
Description: small RNA Cre_2531
Source: RNAcentral